ACGCUCGACACCUACGGGGGGCAGCAGUGGGGAAUAUUGCACAAUGGAGGAAACUCUGAUGCAGCGAUGCCGCGUGAGGGAAGAAGGUUUUCGGAUUGUAAACCUCUGUCUUUGGGGACGAUAAUGACGGUACCCAAGGAGGAAGCUCCGGCUAACUACGUGCCAGCAGCCGCGGUAAUCUGAGCGGGCUGGCAAGGC
Molecule: ribosomal RNA, 198 nt
Filed under: uncultured bacterium
Lineage: Bacteria
Description: partial 16S ribosomal RNA
Rfam family: Bacterial small subunit ribosomal RNA
Source: RNAcentral